Molecule: transfer RNA, 73 nt
Filed under: Thermoplasmata archaeon
Lineage: Archaea; Methanobacteriati; Thermoplasmatota; Thermoplasmata
Description: tRNA-Gln
Rfam family: tRNA
About the family: Transfer RNA (tRNA) molecules are approximately 80 nucleotides in length. Their secondary structure includes four short double-helical elements and three loops (D, anti-codon, and T loops).
Source: RNAcentral
AGCCCCGUGGUGUAGCGGCCAAGCAUAGUGGGCUCUGGACCCAUUGACGGCAGUUCGAAUCUGCCCGGGGCUG